RNAcentral lists this ribosomal RNA (973 nucleotides) under Streptomyces sp. WAC 01420. RNAcentral's name for it is "partial 23S ribosomal RNA". It matches the Rfam family "Bacterial large subunit ribosomal RNA", at positions 1192 to 2027 of the family's 2925-position model. The record is from RNAcentral. Lineage: Bacteria; Bacillati; Actinomycetota; Actinomycetes; Kitasatosporales; Streptomycetaceae.
CGCCGAAGUCGUGUCAUUGCGAUAUGUACCCCCAACGGGGAUCGUGAUGGGUAGGGGAGCGUCGUCUGCCGGGUGAAGCAGCCGUGUAAGCGAGUUGUGGACGGUUGACGAGUGAGAAUGCAGGCAUGAGUAGCGAUUCACACGUGAGAAACGUGUGCGCCGAUUGACUAAGGGUUCCUGGGUCAAGCUGAUCUGCCCAGGGUAAGUCGGGACCUAAGGCGAGGCCGACAGGCGUAGUCGAUGGAUAACCGGUUGAUAUUCCGGUACCCGCUGUGGAGCGUCAAACAUCGAAUCCAGUGAUGCUAAGCCCGUGAAGCCGCCCGCUUUCAGCUUUGCUGUUGGUGGGAGUGGUGGAGCCGGUGACCCGAGCUGGUAGUAGGUGAGUGAUGGGGUGACGCAGGAAGGUAGUCCAUCCCGGGCGGUGGUUGUCCCGGGGUAAGGGUGUAGGACGUCAGGUAGGUAAAUCCGCCUGGCAUGUGUCUGAGACCUGAUGCCGAGCCGAUUGUGGUGAAGUGGAUGAUCCUAUGCUGUCGAGAAAAGCCUCUAGCGAGUUUCAUGGCGGCCCGUACCCUAAACCGACUCAGGUGGUCAGGUAGAGAAUACCGAGGCGUUCGGGUGAACUAUGGUUAAGGAACUCGGCAAAAUGCCCCCGUAACUUCGGGAGAAGGGGGGCCACACCUGGUGAUGGGUUUUGCACCUUGAGCUGGGGGUGGCCGCAGAGACCAGCGAGAAGCGACUGUUUACUAAAAACACAGGUCCGUGCGAAGCCGUAAGGCGAUGUAUACGGACUGACGCCUGCCCGGUGCUGGAACGUUAAGGGGACCGGUUAGCUCACUUUCGGGUGGGCGAAGCUGAGAACUUAAGCGCCAGUAAACGGCGGUGGUAACUAUAACCAUCCUAAGGUAGCGAAUUCCUUGUCGGGUAAGUUCCGACCUGCACGAAUGGCGUAACGACUUCUCGACUGUCUCAACCA